AUCGCCCGUCGCUUUCAUUGAAAAUUAAAUUGAAAUAAGUCGUAACAUAGUGGGUGUACCGGAAGGUGUGCCUA
Molecule: ribosomal RNA, 74 nt
Filed under: Onthophagus cervicapra
Lineage: Eukaryota; Metazoa; Arthropoda; Insecta; Coleoptera; Scarabaeidae
Description: 12S ribosomal RNA
Source: RNAcentral